AUGGAACAUGAUUCUUCAGAAGAUUCCGAUCAGUUUGAGCCGCCGCGAGCACCUGUUUCGAGCAUAAAGAUCGAAUGUCAAUGCGGAACAAAUAACACGAAUAAUCGUUUGAUAAAGUGUGUCGGAUGUGCGCAAUGGCAGCACGCUGUCUGUAUGGGAGUCAGGCCGACGGACUGUGUCACGGCCUACAAGUGCGAGGACUGUGAACCGAGAUUGCUGAUAGUCACCAUCGCCGAGGCGGAAUCAUUCCAAGGAGUUAAGCCGCCAGAGCCCACACCAGCUCCAAAGAUAGAAAGGAAGACAACAAAAGUGCUCUAUAUUCAACGCUUCCUCGAUUUUCUGUCGGACAAGUCAGAAAACAUCAAAAGUCCACUGCCACUGACCAAAUUCUUCCAAGACUACAAAACGAAGAGCAACUGUUCACAAUCUCUGGCUACCGCCAAGAAGAAGCUCUUGGCAAAUCUUUUCGAGCACAUCGUCAUGUCAGCCAAGUACAAUGAUGAUCGAAAGGCCGAAAUGCUCUUCGCAAUUGGAUUGCGCGUUGAGGACGAAUUUUUGGAAAGGCUCAGAGGGCGAGCGACAGUGGAAGUGGACGAUUGUCAACGAAUCACGUUCUAUAAGUCGAAGACCUCCACAUCUUCUCCGGAAACCGUCAGCGUCCGUAAUUUUCUCCAAUACAUCGAGCCAUAUGUAGUCUGCAUGGGCUCCGAGCAGUUGGCUGACUCCAGCCGCAAGAUUCGAGAACAAUUGGAUGCCUGCCGAGUCACAAGCUCAUUUCAAAGGAAAGAUUUCAGUUCGUGCUCGCCGCCACAACAGCCAUAGCUGAAGCACAUUUGUCGGAUGCUUCAGUCAUCGACGGAAUUUCAGCCAUCGAAUUCUUCAAAUAUAUCGAGAAUUACGCAAAGGAUAAGGCACUUUUGAGCCUUUGUGACGAUUUACAGCAAAAGAUUCAGGGACUGGAAGCUAUGGAUAAGAAAAUCCAAUACAACGUGUUGAGCCGUGUCUUCCAAGCCACAAUCUCCCUGGUUUGCCAAUGA
Molecule: RNA transcript, 1037 nt
Organism: Caenorhabditis elegans
Lineage: Eukaryota; Metazoa; Nematoda; Chromadorea; Rhabditida; Rhabditidae
Gene: C16A11.3
Gene name: Non-coding transcript of protein-coding gene C16A11.3b
Exons: 3
Source: RefSeq, marked reviewed